CUUCACCGAUCCCAGCCACAACGGCCGCCCUUCCACCCGUCCUUGACCGUAAGUGGCCAACAACGCCUGCGCCUC
RNAcentral lists this antisense RNA (75 nucleotides) under Streptomyces caatingaensis. Its description in RNAcentral is "ASpks TB sRNA". It matches the Rfam family "ASpks TB sRNA". Lineage: Bacteria; Bacillati; Actinomycetota; Actinomycetes; Kitasatosporales; Streptomycetaceae. The record is from Rfam by way of RNAcentral.